GGGGAGGUGAACACUAACACAUCUUUAAAAAGGCUAAAAAUAGGUUUUUAUUUACUGGAUCUCCUGGGUGGUUUGAUUUUGGACUUGCUGUAGGUGGAGUUCCUAAAUAAUAUCUUCAUUUUAAUAAAUAUUCAUCAUAUCACAUCUAAUCACUUAUGAUCGAAUUAAUACACCUUUACUAGGAUAGUGACAUGUUGACAAAUGGCAGAAAAUAAAGGACCACUAAAGUCACCCAGGCCACAAACACC
Pelobates cultripes (western spadefoot toad) is the source of this 248-nucleotide non-coding RNA. The record is from the annotation of a GenBank genome assembly. NCBI's taxonomy places the organism in Eukaryota, Metazoa, Chordata, Amphibia, Anura, Pelobatidae.